CGCACGGGUCAGUAACACGUGGAUAACCUGCCUCCGGGCGGGGGACAACCUGCCGAAAGGCGGGCUAAUACCCCAUAAGACCACGAAAUCUCAGGAUUUUGGGGUCAAAGGUGGCCUCUGCAUGCAAGCUAUCACCUGGAGAGGGGUCCGCGUCCCAUUAGCUCGUUGGUAGGGUAACGGCCUACCAAGGCUGUGAUGGGUAGCUGGUCUGAGAGGAUGAUCAGCCACACUGGAACUGAGACACGGUCCAGACUCCUACGGGAGGCAGCAGUGGGGAAUAUUGCGCAAUGGGGGAAACCCUGACGCAGCGACGCCGCGUGGGUGAUGAAGGCCUUCGGGUCGUAAAGCCCUGUCGUAGGGGAAGAACGGUCUGCAGGCGAAUACCCUGCAGGAUUGACGGUACCCUACAAGAAAGCACCGGCUAACUCCGUGCCAGCAGCCGCGGUAAUAC
RNAcentral lists this ribosomal RNA (451 nucleotides) under uncultured bacterium. Its description in RNAcentral is "bacterial SSU rRNA". It matches the Rfam family "Bacterial small subunit ribosomal RNA", at positions 99 to 526 of the family's 1533-position model. The record is from RNAcentral.